This is a non-coding RNA of Arachis ipaensis, 199 nucleotides long. The record is from RefSeq and is a predicted model, not a curated record. Lineage: Eukaryota; Viridiplantae; Streptophyta; Magnoliopsida; Fabales; Fabaceae.
AUACCGUGACACCUGGCCUCCACCACUGCCAAGAAUUUUACUCAGCCACGGAGGGUAGAAUUGACAACGGAGUUUUAUAUUCAUGUGUGCAAAUGACUCAUUAAAAAAUUGAGGAGUACAUCUGUACUCCAUGUGAAAAUUCGGGUGUACUUUUGUAUAUUUUUCCUAUUUUGUUAGGUUGAGAAUGAGUUUUAUAUGA